RNAcentral lists this ribosomal RNA (1932 nucleotides) under Salmonella enterica. RNAcentral describes it as "partial 23S ribosomal RNA". It matches the Rfam family "Bacterial large subunit ribosomal RNA", at positions 890 to 2802 of the family's 2925-position model. Lineage: Bacteria; Pseudomonadati; Pseudomonadota; Gammaproteobacteria; Enterobacterales; Enterobacteriaceae. The record is from RNAcentral.
UCAUCUCCGGGGGUAGAGCACUGUUUCGGCUAGGGGGCCAUCCCGGCUUACCAACCCGAUGCAAACUGCGAAUACCGGAGAAUGUUAUCACGGGAGACACACGGCGGGUGCUAACGUCCGUCGUGAAGAGGGAAACAACCCAGACCGCCAGCUAAGGUCCCAAAGUCAUGGUUAAGUGGGAAACGAUGUGGGAAGGCCCAGACAGCCAGGAUGUUGGCUUAGAAGCAGCCAUCAUUUAAAGAAAGCGUAAUAGCUCACUGGUCGAGUCGGCCUGCGCGGAAGAUGUAACGGGGCUAAACCAUGCACCGAAGCUGCGGCAGCGACACUCAGGUGUUGUUGGGUAGGGGAGCGUUCUGUAAGCCUGCGAAGGUGGCCUGUGAGGGUUGCUGGAGGUAUCAGAAGUGCGAAUGCUGACAUAAGUAACGAUAAAGCGGGUGAAAAGCCCGCUCGCCGGAAGACCAAGGGUUCCUGUCCAACGUUAAUCGGGGCAGGGUGAGUCGACCCCUAAGGCGAGGCCGAAAGGCGUAGUCGAUGGGAAACGGGUUAAUAUUCCCGUACUUGGUGUUACUGCGAAGGGGGGACGGAGAAGGCUAUGUUGGCCGGGCGACGGUUGUCCCGGUUUAAGCGUGUAGGUGUGUGUUCCAGGUAAAUCCGGUUCACUUUAACACUGAGGCGUGAUGACGAGGCACUACGGUGCUGAAGCAACAAAUGCCCUGCUUCCAGGAAAAGCCUCUAAGCAUCAGGUAACAUCAAAUCGUACCCCAAACCGACACAGGUGGUCAGGUAGAGAAUACCAAGGCGCUUGAGAGAACUCGGGUGAAGGAACUAGGCAAAAUGGUGCCGUAACUUCGGGAGAAGGCACGCUGACACGUAGGUGAAGUGAUUUACUCAUGGAGCUGAAGUCAGUCGAAGAUACCAGCUGGCUGCAACUGUUUAUUAAAAACACAGCACUGUGCAAACACGAAAGUGGACGUAUACGGUGUGACGCCUGCCCGGUGCCGGAAGGUUAAUUGAUGGGGUCAGCGCAAGCGAAGCUCCUGAUCGAAGCCCCGGUAAACGGCGGCCGUAACUAUAACGGUCCUAAGGUAGCGAAAUUCCUUGUCGGGUAAGUUCCGACCUGCACGAAUGGCGUAAUGAUGGCCAGGCUGUCUCCACCCGAGACUCAGUGAAAUUGAACUCGCUGUGAAGAUGCAGUGUACCCGCGGCAAGACGGAAAGACCCCGUGAACCUUUACUAUAGCUUGACACUGAACAUUGAGCCUUGAUGUGUAGGAUAGGUGGGAGGCUUUGAAGUGUGGACGCCAGUCUGCAUGGAGCCGACCUUGAAAUACCACCCUUUAAUGUUUGAUGUUCUAACGUGGACCCGUGAUCCGGGUUGCGGACAGUGUCUGGUGGGUAGUUUGACUGGGGCGGUCUCCUCCUAAAGAGUAACGGAGGAGCACGAAGGUUGGCUAAUCCUGGUCGGACAUCAGGAGGUUAGUGCAAUGGCAUAAGCCAGCUUGACUGCGAGCGUGACGGCGCGAGCAGGUGCGAAAGCAGGUCAUAGUGAUCCGGUGGUUCUGAAUGGAAGGGCCAUCGCUCAACGGAUAAAAGGUACUCCGGGGAUAACAGGCUGAUACCGCCCAAGAGUUCAUAUCGACGGCGGUGUUUGGCACCUCGAUGUCGGCUCAUCACAUCCUGGGGCUGAAGUAGGUCCCAAGGGUAUGGCUGUUCGCCAUUUAAAGUGGUACGCGAGCUGGGUUUAGAACGUCGUGAGACAGUUCGGUCCCUAUCUGCCGUGGGCGCUGGAGAACUGAGGGGGGCUGCUCCUAGUACGAGAGGACCGGAGUGGACGCAUCACUGGUGUUCGGGUUGUCAUGCCAAUGGCACUGCCCGGUAGCUAAAUGCGGAAGAGAUAAGUGCUGAAAGCAUCUAAGCACGAAACUUGCCCCGA